GUUUUUUUGUUGUUGUUUUGUUUUUAAGGGAGCAGAUGGCCUUUGUCUCCCUGAACCAAUAUGGAUUGUCACUCUCCUCUCCUUGGAAGCUACCACUCCCUGUAAAGCUACUCCGUUGGAACUCACACUUGACCAGAGUCACAUUGGCAGGCGGCUAUAGUUUUUCUGUGCUGGGUUUAUAACUCUUUUGUUCAACUUGUAGUUAGGUUUUAAAACUUAAUGCAAAAAUUAUCCUUUUUGUGUUCCUGAUUUUUUGCUUUGAAAAAUUGACAAAGGAUGAUGUAUGUUUUCAUAAAAGGAAAUUGUCAAGAUAAGUUUGUCACUCCCUGUUUUCAUAGGCUAAUGAUUUUCCCAGUUUGUUGUCAUCUAGAACAAGGGUCAGCAAACCAUGGCCUAAGGGCCAGAUCUGCCCAGUCACCAAUUUUUGUGUAAUCUCAGAUCUAAUAAUGGUUAUUACAUCUUAAAUGUUGGAAAACAUUGGAAGAAUAAUAAUAUUUUGUAACCCAGGAAAAAUCUAAUAAAAUUUAUAUUUCAG
RNAcentral lists this long non-coding RNA (535 nucleotides) under Marmota monax (woodchuck). The record is from RNAcentral. Lineage: Eukaryota; Metazoa; Chordata; Mammalia; Rodentia; Sciuridae.